This 422-nucleotide ribosomal RNA is filed under the name uncultured prokaryote. Its description in RNAcentral is "bacterial SSU rRNA". It matches the Rfam family "Bacterial small subunit ribosomal RNA", at positions 355 to 774 of the family's 1533-position model. The record is from RNAcentral.
UGAGGAAUAUUGGUCAAUGGGCGCAAGCCUGAACCAGCCAUCCCGCGUGAAGGAAGAAGGCGCUAUGCGUUGUAAACUUCUUUUCCAGGGGAAUAAAAUUCUGUACGUGUACGGAAUUGAAGGUACCCUGGGAAUAAGCAUCGGCUAACUCCGUGCCAGCAGCCGCGGUAAUACGGAGGAUGCAAGCGUUAUCCGGAUUUAUUGGGUUUAAAGGGUGCGCAGGCGGAGUAGUAAGUCAGUGGUGAAAACCUGCAGCUUAACUGUAGAAUUGCCGUUGAUACUGCUGCUCUUGAGUAUGGUCAAGGUAGGCGGAAUGUGUAAUGUAGCGGUGAAAUGCUUAGAUAUUACACAGAACACCGAUUGCGAAGGCAGCUUGCUGGGCCAUUACUGACGCUCAUGCACGAAAGCGUGGGGAUCGAACA